GAUGAGCGCUAGCUACAGGCUUAACACAUGCAAGUCGAGGGGAAACGACAUCGAAAGCUUGCUUUUGAUGGGCGUCGACCGGCGCACGGGUGAGUAACGCGUAUCCAACCUGCCCACCACUUGGGGAUAACCUUGCGAAAGUAAGACUAAUACCCAAUGAUAUCCCACGAAGACAUCUGAAUGGGAUUAAAGAUUUAUCGGUGAUGGAUGGGGAUGCGUCUGAUUAGCUUGUUGGCGGGGUAACGGCCCACCAAGGCAACGAUCAGUAGGGGUUCUGAGAGGAAGGUCCCCCACAUUGGAACUGAGACACGGUCCAAACUCCUACGGGAGGCAGCAGUGAGGAAUAUUGGUCAAUGGGCGAGAGCCUGAACCAGCCAAGUAGCGUGCAGGAAGACGGCCCUAUGGGUUGUAAACUGCUUUUAUAAGGGAAUAAAGUGGGUCACGUGUGACUUUUUGCAUGUACCUUAUGAAUAAGGACCGGCUAAUUCCGUG
This 492-nucleotide ribosomal RNA is filed under the name uncultured bacterium. RNAcentral's name for it is "partial 16S ribosomal RNA". It matches the Rfam family "Bacterial small subunit ribosomal RNA", at positions 28 to 507 of the family's 1533-position model. The record is from RNAcentral.